Molecule: long non-coding RNA, 476 nt
Filed under: Mustela putorius furo (domestic ferret)
Lineage: Eukaryota; Metazoa; Chordata; Mammalia; Carnivora; Mustelidae
Description: lncRNA (ENSMPUG00000029957.1)
Source: RNAcentral
AAUAAACCCCACCCAGGAACCUUCUUUUAAGAAACAGGUGCUAGCUAGCAAGAGAAAGCAGCCAGUUGCCAAUAACAAUUAAAACUCCAUCUUCCUGACUCUGAAAACAAUUUCUAGGGGGAAACAGGCGCCCUGUUUCCUAGGGUUUAAUUCACUAGGUUGUCUCUGUGAAUUAGAGUCAGAUCUAAGUUUCACACUCAGGAGCGGUUUUCGCUGUCGACGACUACUGCCCUCCCAGCUCAGAGAAGUCCGUUUCCAAACUGGUAUAGCUGAGGUCCCUCGGGUGGCUACAGCUAGAAGAUCUGUUGUGGCUGGGACAUUCAUCAUGGCCUCUUACCCCUGGUGCCUGCCUCCAUCUGGCCUUUCAUGACUUCAUAGCCUAGCCGAAGCAUCUUUACAGCAUGAUGGCUGACAUCCAAAAAGGGAGAUUCUGAGAGGACAGGCCCUCAUGUGUAAGUACAUUUUUUAGCUUCUCC